GUAAGUGCCAAGGGCUUUUCCUUUUGCUUUCUGUGUGCCUUUGCCUUGUUGUGUAGCUGGAGAAGUGAGAACACCUUGCCACUGAGUGCAGCCGAGAUCCGGACUGCAGGAGCCAGGGGAUUCAUAAAACCAUCGCCGAGUGCAACAACCUCAAUAAACGACAAAAAUCUGGUCGCUUAGCAACUUAAACUGGCUUUUUUUUUUUUUUUUUUUUUCCCUAAACGGAUUGUGUUUUGGUGAAGUCUUCUGUCAAAUAUUUAGCGUGAGAAAAUGACAAGGGCCCUUUCCAUGUGAAGUAAACUGCAGCAUGAAGUCACCGCAUUAUCCUGGUGGUCGGGGCUGGAGCCGCAGCCCCGCGAUGGUUCUGGAGCUGCGGACAGGCCCCAGGGGAAGCAGUUCCAGGGCAUUGUUUUGGCUCUCGGAGAGGGCCCGGACCCCCGGGCUCCGGGGGCUGCUCCGGUUCGCAGUUGCGGUGCGGGAUGUGCGAGAGCCGGGCUCGGCAUCCCGUGGGAAACAGCUCCUCUGGCCGGUGGCCGGGCAGGAGCGGGGCCAGCUCUGCAAGCCCUGAUUGCAACCAGAUGUCCCGGGCGCUGCCUCCCCUGCUCCGGCUCCGCUCCGCCCCGCCGAGAGCGGCCCCUCCGGGGAAGGGGACACGGCGUGCCCGAAGGGACCCCCCGGCCGGGCUCUGGGGGGCUUUGGCUGAGCCUCACGGGGCGGGGGGUCAGGGGAUUGGGGUCCCCAGACUCCGGAGGGGUUAAAGACGGUCCUGACCCUCUCCCCGGUUUGUCCUGAGGGCUCCCACUGUCCCUGCUCGCGUUUUCUCACCGAGCAUGUGGUGAUGGAGCGAGGGCCGCCGGCUCUGCACACACCCUCCGUCACUGCCCGGAGCAGCCCCAAGGGCUCCAGAGUCCAACACACAAUUCUCCGCUUUUUCAGAGCCGCCUGUCGCUGCUGCAGGGCCUCGGGCGCCAGGACAAGGCUCGGUGGAUCCCUCGGCCGUGCAGCUGAGCCGAGAGGGCUCCGCACGGGCCGCUGCCCACGGGAGCUGCUGCAGCUGCCUCCGCACCCCCGGCUCCGCCCGGCUGCCGAACCCCCGGCCCGGGGACCCCACCGGCCUGCCCGUGCCCACUGGAGGGUGCUCUCUGCCAAGAUUUGCGCCGCGGAUGCUUCAAAGCAGCUUUUGGGCGGGAUUAUUUCCCAGUCGGGAGAAGCAGCUCCGGCUCUCCCGGC
This 1230-nucleotide long non-coding RNA is filed under the name Parus major (Great Tit). RNAcentral's name for it is "lncRNA (ENSPMJG00000012316.1)". The record is from RNAcentral. Lineage: Eukaryota; Metazoa; Chordata; Aves; Passeriformes; Paridae.